RNAcentral lists this ribosomal RNA (253 nucleotides) under uncultured bacterium. RNAcentral describes it as "partial 16S ribosomal RNA". It matches the Rfam family "Bacterial small subunit ribosomal RNA", at positions 524 to 776 of the family's 1533-position model. The record is from RNAcentral.
GACGGAGGAUGCAAGUGUUAUCCGGAAUCACUGGGCGUAAAGCGUCUGUAGGUGGUCAAAUAAGUCAACUGUUAAAUCUUGAGGCUUAACCUCAAAAUCGCAGUCGAAACUAUUAGACUAGAGUAUAGUAGGGGUAAAGGGAAUUUCCAGUGGAGCGGUGAAAUGCGUAGAGAUUGGAAAGAACACCGAUGGCGAAAGCACUCUGCUGGGCCGACACUGACACUGAGAGACGAAAGCUAGGGGAGCGAAUGGG